Molecule: ribosomal RNA, 497 nt
Filed under: uncultured bacterium
Lineage: Bacteria
Description: partial 16S ribosomal RNA
Rfam family: Bacterial small subunit ribosomal RNA
Source: RNAcentral
GAUGAACGCUGGCGGCGUGCCUAAUACAUGCAAGUCGAGCGAACAGACGAGGAGCUUGCUCCUCUAACGUUAGCGGCGGACGGGUGAGUAACACGUGGAUAACCUACCUAUAUGUCUGGGAUAACUUCGGGAAACCGGAGCUAAUAACGGAUAAUAUAUUGAACCGCAUGGUUCAAUAGUGCAUGACGGUUUUGCUGUCACUUAUAGAUGGAUCCGCGCCGCAUUAGCUAGUUGGUAAGGUAACGGCUUACCAAGGCAACGAUGCGUAGCUGACCUGAGAGGAUGAUCAGCCACACUGGAACUGAGACACGGUCCAGACUCCUACGGGAGGCAGCAGUAGGGAAUCUUCCGCAAUGGGCGAAAGCCUGACGGAGCAACGCCGCGUGAGUGAUGAAGGUCUUCGGAUCGUAAAACUCUGUUAUUAGGGAAGAACAAAUGUGUAAGUAACUAUGCACGUCUUGACGGUACCUAAUCAGAAAGCCACGGCUAACUACGUG